Molecule: long non-coding RNA, 2028 nt
Filed under: Homo sapiens (human)
Lineage: Eukaryota; Metazoa; Chordata; Mammalia; Primates; Hominidae
Description: HSALNT0216881
Source: RNAcentral
CAGACACUGACCCACAGGUUCUCCAGGCCCUCCAGGACCUUCUCACACUCCACAGCCCCUGCCCCUGCCCCUGUCCUGUUGACCUCCCAGCAUCCAUCCCUGUCCUCGGGCUGCACCCUGCUGGCUGUCCUGUUCUCUGACCAUCCCCCACUAUCCAGUCCCUCCUGGGAGACCUGAGGCUGUCCUGGGCUUCAGCCCCCAGGGCUGGGGUCGCAGUGCGCAGGGUCCCAGGACCUCCUGCUCCUCCCUCUGGGAUGUUGUUACCCACCCCAGCCUCCCCAGCCCGAUGUUCGGGGUCCCGUGUGUAUCUGUGGGUUUCCCCGAGGCUCAGAGUCCUGCCCCGGCCAGCACAGACGGGGAACAGGGCGAGGGCUGGGUGGUGGCCCAGUGACCUCGGGGGCCAGGCCUUGUAGGUGCAGGUGGGCCCGUGCUGCCGUGCCCCUCACCCACAGACAGGCCCCGACUCUGGCCCAGCACCCGCUCGGCCGCUCCCAGCUGCAGGCUGAGCUCUGCCCAUUUGCUCCUGGGCCAUGUGUGUUUGGAGCCUUUCCUGAGCCAGGCCUUGGGUGGGCCCUGUUUCCCCAGGCCACCGAUGAGCAGAGCACUGUCGGCUUACAGAGGGGACCCCCGAGGGGGGUUUGGUGGGCACACACCAGUGAGCCCUGGAGCUGGUGGGGGGUGAGUGUGUGAGCGUGUGAGCAUGGGUACAAAUGUGACAGUGACUUAGCGUCGGGGUUUGAGUGUGGGUGGGGGUGUAAGUGUGGGUGAGGGUGUGAGUGUGGAAGUGUGUUAGUGAGUAUAUGAAUGUGAGGGUGAGUGUGAGUGAGGAUGUGUGUAUAGGCGUGUGGGUUGUGUGUAUAGGAAGUGUGUGUGUUGUGUGUGUAUAGGAGGUAUAUGUGUUGUGAGUGUAUGAUAGGUGUAUGUGUUGUGUGUGUAUAGGUGUAUGAGUUGUGUGUGUGGUGUAUAGGUUGUGUAUGAGUGGGUGGUGUGUGGGUUGUAUGUAUGUUUCAUGUAUGUGUUGUGUGUGUGUGGUGUAUGGGUUGUAUGUGAAUGUGUGGUGUAUGGGUUGUGUGUGUGCAUAGGUGUAUGUGUUGUGUGUGUUUGUGGUAUAUGAGUUGUGUGUGUGAGUGUGUGUAUAGGUGUAUAGGUUGUGUGUGUGUGGUGUAUGGGUUCUGUGUGGGGGUGGUGUAUGGGUGUGUGUAUGAGUAUUAUGUGUGUGUGUGGUGUGUAUGUGUUGUGUGUGUGGUGUAUGGGUUGUAUGUGUGUAUAGGUUGUGUGUGUUUGUGGUAUAUGGGUUGUGUGUGUGUGUGUAUAGGUGUAUGGGUUAUGUGUGAAUGUGUGGUGUAUGGGUUGUAUGUGUAGGUGUAUGGCUUAUUAGUGUGUAUAUAUGUGUACGGGUUGUGUGUGUGUGGUUAUGGCUUGUGUAUGUGGUCUGUGCGUUGUGUAUGAGUGUGUGGUGUAUGAGUUGUGUGUGUGUAUAGGUGUAUGUGUUGAGCGUGAGUUUGUGGUAUAUGGUUGUGUGUGUAUAUAGGUGUAUGGGUUGUGAGUGUGUGGUGUAUGGGUUGUGUAGGGGUGUAUGGCUUGUUUAUGAGUGUGUGUAUAGGUGUAUGGGUUUGUGUGUGGUUAUGGCUUGUGUGUGUUUAUGGUCUGUGGGUUGUGUGAGUGUGUGCUGUAUGAGUUGCAUGUGUGUGUAUAGGUGUAUGCGUUGUGUGUGAGUUUGUGGUAUAUGGAUUGUGUGUGAGUUUGUGUAUAGAUGUAUGGGCUGUGUGUGUGUGGUGUAUGAAUUGAGUGUGUGUAUAGGUGUAUGUGUUGUGUGUGUAGUGUAUGGGUUGUGUGUGUGAAUGUGUAUAGGUAUAUGGGCUGUGUGUGUGGUUAUGACUUGUGUUUGUGUUCUAUGGGUUGUGUGUGUGGUGUAUGUGUUGUGUGUGAGUGUGUGGUGUAUGGGUUGUAUGUGUGGCAUAUGGGUAUGUGUAUAGAUGUAUGGUUUGUGUGUGAGUGUGUGGUGUAUGGGUUGUGUGUGUGUGGUAU